UUGGCAGUCCCCAGCUCUGAGAACUGAAUUCCAUGGACUGGUUUCAAUUCCAUGUGUUCAGUCCAUGGUAUUCAGUUCUCUAGCUUGGCUGCAUCAA
Molecule: microRNA precursor, 97 nt
Organism: Callipepla squamata (scaled quail)
Lineage: Eukaryota; Metazoa; Chordata; Aves; Galliformes; Odontophoridae
Rfam family: mir-146 microRNA precursor family
Source: Rfam